RNAcentral lists this unclassified non-coding RNA (177 nucleotides) under uncultured Herpotrichiellaceae. RNAcentral describes it as "sequence contains ITS2". The record is from RNAcentral. Lineage: Eukaryota; Fungi; Ascomycota; Eurotiomycetes; Chaetothyriales; Herpotrichiellaceae.
UCACCCCUCAAGCCCCGUGCUUGGUGUUGGACGGCCUGGUCAGGGAUCUGACCCCUCCUAAAGACAAUGACGGCGGCCCGUGGGACCCCCGGUACACUGAGCUUUUAACUGAGCACGUAUCGGAUCAAGGGUGCCCGGGCCCCGGUCCUCUCCUUUCACGGAAAGGAAACUUAUCAA